CCGGCGCACGGUGAGUAACGCGUAUGCAACUUACCUAUCAGAGGGGAUAACCCGGCGAAAGUCGGACUAAUACCGCAUGAAGCAGGGGUCCCGCAUGGGGAUAUUUGCUAAAGAUUCAUCGCUGAUAGAUAGGCAUGCGUUCCAUUAGGCAGUUGGCGGGGUAACGGCCCACCAAACCGACGAUGGAUAGGGGUUCUGAGAGGAAGGUCCCCCACAUUGGUACUGAGACACGGACCGA
This 238-nucleotide ribosomal RNA is filed under the name uncultured bacterium. RNAcentral describes it as "partial 16S ribosomal RNA". It matches the Rfam family "Bacterial small subunit ribosomal RNA", at positions 95 to 334 of the family's 1533-position model. The record is from RNAcentral.